ACGGGUCGUACGCCGAGUUCUGCCCUAGGCCCGUCGUCCCCUCCUAGUGACCAUCAGGGCAGAAGCGGGGGAACCAGGUUCCUCCGGAUGGCCACCGCACCCAGGCGGCCGUCCUCGGGGUGAAGUCGCCGCGCAGCGCGCGCCGACCGGGCUUCCCGGCCCGAACCCGACAGCUAACCUCGCAGGCGUACGGGAAGGAUCU
Molecule: small RNA, 202 nt
Filed under: Frankia sp.
Lineage: Bacteria; Bacillati; Actinomycetota; Actinomycetes; Frankiales; Frankiaceae
Description: c-di-AMP sequence
Rfam family: c-di-AMP riboswitch aptamer (ydaO/yuaA leader)
About the family: This family represents a conserved RNA structure found upstream of the ydaO and yuaA genes in Bacillus subtilis and related genes in other bacteria.
Source: RNAcentral